GUGCCCAUUUCAGCAGCCCAUAUACUAAAAUUGGAACAAUACAGAGUUUAAUGUGGCCCCUGUGAAAGGAUGACAUGCAAAUUCAUAGUGUGCCAUAUUUUU
This 102-nucleotide small nuclear RNA is filed under the name Notamacropus eugenii (tammar wallaby). Lineage: Eukaryota; Metazoa; Chordata; Mammalia; Diprotodontia; Macropodidae. The record is from RNAcentral.